This 12857-nucleotide unclassified non-coding RNA is filed under the name Leishmania donovani. RNAcentral's name for it is "gene:LdHU3.06.1020(CDS-product:hypothetical_prote in_conserved)". Lineage: Eukaryota; Euglenozoa; Kinetoplastea; Trypanosomatida; Trypanosomatidae. The record is from RNAcentral.
GACGCAUGCUCGAGCACCCCCAUCGCUGGACGAUACACAUACUACGCCACCUCCGUGACGCUCGCCGAACACGCGCGCGAGAGAACACGAAAUCUUAGCGUCGUAUACACACAGCAUUCCGCUUUUGGCUCAUGUAUUUUCGUUCCCAUCGCUGCUCUCGUCGCUGUUCCUGUGCUGACUAGGGGUGUGCGCGUGCGUGCUGCUGCCAGCGCGUGCAGCGCAUCCUUGUUCGCUCCAGUGACGACAUCAUCUGCUGCGGUGUGGCCCCAUUCUCUCUCCGCGCGCGUGUGCGCACGCCAUGUUGAGCUCCUUAUCCACUCGCACGCGUUCGACAUAGCUUUCUGCGCACGUACACGUGUGCAUAUCCGCACACACCGCUGCACGCCUUUCUCCGCGGUGUGAGAGACUCUGUGUGUGCGUGUGUGUGAGGUAAGAGAGGGCAAGCGCAACACGGUGCCGAGCGUGCGACACAAGUGCCGCUGCCUCCACGUCUCUCUCUUUCUCUCACGCUCUCUGCAACCGCAAUCAUCGUCCCUCUCUCCGCGAGUGUUUCCUCAGUGGAAACGGCAGAACGUCGACAGACACACACACAUAUAUAUAUAUAUCUAUAUAUAUCAGCGUUCUCCCUGCUGCCGCGUGCAUCGCUCUCGCUUUUCGUCGCCUGCUGCCCUGGCGCGUUUCGGCCAUCGCAUAUCUUCAUUGCCGUUGUUGGUGCGCAUCUCGCUCGCCCCACCUCUCGGCGCGUGGACACUCGCGACCCGCACCGCAGCUCGCAGCAUCAUUCAGCUGCGACGCAACAAGCGACAGAGAGACAGAAGACGGAAUUGCAUCACAGUUGACUGCACAGGCGCACCUUCUAAAUCCUUUCUCAUAUCUGCUCACCACGCACACGCACACACAGCUUACCCUUGCCCUUGCCUUGCCUGGGCCACGGCGUGAGGCGGCUCGGUCGACGACAGCCACACACACACACACACACACACACAGCGAGAGAAGGAGCAAACCCCCUCCUCGUUUUUGGAGCCUCGUGACAGUUGACGUACACGGGGGAGGAAGAGAGACGGCGCGCGCGCGUGUGUGUGUGUGCGUGUCUCCGCCCGUACUUCCGAGCUUAAGCGGCGGCCGCUAAGAUGCGAAGAACGGCACCGAAGGCAAGGACCCACCAAAGGACCGAAACACCCGCAAUAAGUCGACAGAGCGACGCAGCACACACCCGGCAGCGGCUUCUCUUGCUCUUCCCUCUCCACCUGCGUUCGCCCUCGUCAUGGCGACGACGGCAUCCAUGGCGUCUGCGUCGCCAGAGUCGUUGAUGUCAGCGCCGGUGACCACGCCCUCCUCCUCGACUCGGCUUCGAACAUACCUUGCCAUAGGCUGCGGCGUGGGGCUGCUUCUCUGCGCCGGUGUCGUGCUGCGGCGCCGCCUCGCCCGUCCGCGGCCACCGCCGCGGGGCCCGUGCCCGAUGGCGGACAACACGAUCGCCCUGCUGCGCGACCUGCACGACGGCCCGUUCCGCUUUGGCGAUCCCACGCCGUUUGCCGUGGCGGCGCGGGCAGAGGCGACGCGGCGUAUUCGGCGCCAGCAGCGGGAGCGCCGACGGCUGCGCCGGCGCAUGCGGCCGCAGCUGUGUCGCGCAAGGAGUUCUCAGCAGUUGCCGUCAUGGCGUGCGGCAGCGACCGCGGCGGCCUCCGCGCCUGUCAGCAACGUCCUCGGAGCCGGCGGCCAGCAGACGUUUUUGCGAACGACGGAGAACGCACCCGCGCCGCAAGACCCGCUGCAACAGGGGCGCGAUGCCCCCGGCAACGAGCUCACGAGCGGCGGUGCAGCAACGGCGACGGCGAAAGAAAGAGAAGGCCGCGCGAAGGCAGAGGCGUCGUCCCAGCGAGAGGGCGCCCUGUUGCCCUCUGCCAACUCCGCCACCUCGUUGUACGCCGUCGACUCUGACGCCGACAACGACGACCCACGCGACAACGACGGCUACGAUGAGGGCGUGUACUCCACCAACGGGCCACUGAUGGCGAGGACCGGCGGGCUCCGUAAGAUGACAUCGAGCGAGGUGUCGCUCAUCUCAUCGACGACGACGAUGAGCAGCUCCUACGACUCGGACUACUCGCGCUCGCCGAGUACCAGCUCCAGAACCACCACCAGCGGCAGCAGCUACUACUCCCGCAUCAUCACCCCAUCACUGAUGCAGUCCACGGGGUCGUCUGCAGACUCGCAGGGUGGCGCGUCGUCGCUACUGGCCAUGACGACCGGCUCUGUGACGAGCCCCGACGGCAUCCCAUGGGUGAAGGCCACGCUCGAUGGUGGCAGCGUCACGUGGGGCGGCCUUCACGGCUCCCACGACGCACCACAGCAAGCGCAGCAACACAGCCAACACCAUAACCACCAGCCACCGCCGAAUGAUCCAGCCGGGAGCUUCAGCAAUAUCGCUCAGAACAUGGUGCCCAUGUCGAUGUCUAACCCACAGUCGUCUUCGUCCCCACACUCUAUGUCCGGCGCGAUGGCUGCCCAAGGGGGCCGCUAUCCGGCCCAACUGCUGUGGUGUGGUGCCUCCUCGCCGGCCCCGAGCAUCCAUGCAUGUGGCGGGACGCCGCGGCCGGGAGCGAACACGACAUCCCCGUGGACCUUCGGUGGUGGUGACGGCGGCGGCGGUGACAGCAGCGGGUCCCCAGAGGUAGCGUACACAGCGACCUUUGCCUCCGUGCCCGGGCCGGCGCCAUCGCUGUUGGCCAGUGGAAGAUGGGGCGGCGUGGCGGAGGACGAGGAGUCGUAUCAGUACACAGCGCCCGCCCUCAUGUACGGGCCGCCGCUGUUCGCAACGGAGAUGGAUGUCACGGAUGCACUGGCGGAGCUGCGCAGCUCGGUGUGCUGCAGCGGGGACCGGCAAGGCAGCAGCUGUCUUGCCGGCGGUGCCUCCAGCACAAUAAACACCACCCCCUCUCCCUUCAUGAACUCCAGCGUCACCGGCAGCGGCAGCGCCAUCAUGGCGCGCAUAAACUCCUCGAACAACGCCACCUCCCUCCAUCAGCAGCAACUAGGGAUGUCGUUGUCCUCGGUGCACUACCGCUCUCAGCAGCAGCACCAGAGCACUCACCAGCACACUUGGAGCCACCCGCGAAGUCAGGGCUACUUCUCAGGCACGUCAAUGAGCACAGCCAGCGCAAGCGUUGCGUUCCCCACGUACGCUCGGCACACGGCGCACUACCCGGGCGGUGGCAGUGGCAGUAGUAGUGGCAAGCCGCCGAAGCAUCAACACCAUCACCAUCGCAGUAGCAGCGGCUACCAUCGCGUAUCUUCUCGCACCAGCGUUCGACGUAGCGCGAACUGGUCGCCUGCGAGCUCGCAGUGGCUACCUGAGACGUUAUCGACCGUGCAACCUGUCUACGGCUACGACAGCGCGCCUCGCGGUUGGGGCAGCGGCGGCAGCGAGGUUGCCACAGGCGAGAGCACGGCCAGCGGCGGGAACGGCUCCUUCACCCACGCCCCCACCGAAACCCCCAUUUCGCAAGCUUCGUCGGCUCUGCGCCGCUUCAUGACGACUGGUGGCCGCGCGCAUCAUACAUCAGCGCACGGUAACAUCAACGGCAAUGCCCACCGUUCCUUCCGCUCCGUGAACUCGACGCUGCGCCACCUCUGCCAGCGCGGACGGCACUGCUGUAGCGGGCGGCUGCGCCGGUGCUGGCGCCGGUGCCGGCGACUGGUGCGUCGUCGCGUCAUCGCCAGCUGCGCCGUAGCCCAGCUGUUGGUGAUGCGCAUAUUGUGUGCGGUGCGGCGCGGUUCGAGUGUGCUCGGCGGAGCCUGCGCGAGGGGGUGGCGUUGGGUCAUCCGCCAGUGGCGGGAGAGCGCCUGCGCUGCGUCUGGCAAGGUGUUGGCGUGGCUGCGUCGAACACGAUGGUCAUUAUUGAAGACUGGCGCGAUGGCAGCCGACGAGACAAGUUGCACUGUGGCUACUUCUGUGCCAUCGAGUGAAGCAGCCAAGCGACAUCCAGGGCACACUUCCACGGUUGUCGACACUGCGGCGGAAGCGGCGGCGGAGGCCAAGCGUGGCGGUCUUCUGAUGACGGACACGGCCGACGAGGCUAUUAACAAGAUCGUGCAGCUGCUAGAGCCAACACCUGGGCGUGUGCCAACGGUCGUGGUCAUUCGUGCCCCGCUCGGCUACGACGUGUCGACUGAUGCGGCGAGUCUCUGGAAGGCGCUCCACCUCGACAGCACCUCAUCCGAAGAGGGCCUUAUCGACAUCAUCAUCAUGGAGGAGCUCAAGACGGGACCAUUGCCACCAGCGCAGGCCAGGGCAGCAGCCGCGGCUACAGGGACCUCAUCACAGGUGGUCAGCUUCCCUGCGAACCCGGCGGCGCCGCCGCUGAUGCCGCCGUACACCGGCACAUCCGACGGUGAGAGGACGACAACGACUGCGGCACCAGCGAAACCGCCGACGUCACCGCUACAGCGGAGGCGGCCACCGCCGGAGCCGUCUAAAGCAUCCGCUGCUGCUGCUGCCACGACGCCGGCAAGGGCACAGACCCAGCUGCGCAUCUCCUUCGAGAUCUAUCCAGCACACUUGUUUUACUCGUUGAUCUUCCGCGCGGCGGUGCUGCAAGAGAAGGACUGGGCGCUGCGACGCGCGGCUGCGGAGCUCUUCGGCGGCUCCGCUGAGAGCGAUGGCAGCGGCAAAGGUCUCGGCGUCAGCGCAGGAGCCAACGCCAGCGCCGGCGGCGGUGUCAGUGUCACACCGGGGUCGCCUCUGUCACUCGCGCGCGCGCUGUCCUUCACCUUCGGCGUCCAGGCGCCGGCGGGAGACUGCGGCAACAACAACAACGCGAUGGACCCCUUCAGCCACCACCCACACCACGUCACGGCCGCCGUGGGGGGCAGUGCCACCGGCUUGGAAAACUACUGCCUCUCUCCGCUGUCGCCGGGGCAUUUCUGCCGAAUGCCGGUCUCCCCGAAGCUGACGGCGCCGUCGCCGCACGUAGGCCUCAGUGGCGGUGGUGGUGCUGCGGCUGCGGCGGCCGGCGUCGGAGUUGCCAAUGCGUCCCCUGGGACGGCGUGUGGCACUGUUGCGUCUCCUGUGACCUUGCCAGCGUCUGCGUUCUCCUCCGUGGCGGUGACGACAUCGCCCCAGGUCGUGGUGCGCCUCUCUGAGAGCUACAGCUUCCCAGCUCAGCCGCCGCAGAUGGUGAUGUCACCGCCGCUUGGGACGCAGCCCGGGUUCAAGGCGCCGCUCGGUGCGCUGCCGGCGGACUCGCGCUGCUCCGCAUACGGCGGGGGCGGCAGCGCAUUCUCUGGUGCUGGCGCUGCCGGUGGCGCCAGCGGCAUUGGUGUGCUGCCGUCCGGUUCCGCAGGUCGCAUAAUCUCCGACAACGAACUUCUUUUCUACAUCCACGUACUGCGCACGGCUGUCGGUGACGGCGUCAACACCACGGCGCUGCCGUCGAGCAGGGCCUCGGAGGUGGACGACGACGACGCGGAUGCGAAUAGUGCGGGCCCGAAGGCAGCAGGCGUGCAGCGGGACGGCGCAGAUCCCGGGAAGCAAAGCCCGCGGACGCCGAGUGGCAUCAGCGACGCGGCCCUUGUCAGCCGCGAGGGGCCGGACGCUGUGGAGGACAACGACGAUGACAGCGAGGACCUCACCUUGCUGGACCUGCGACAGCGCGAGAUCGAGCCACAGGUGCUGCUACGCUAUCGUUUUCGUGUUUUCCAGCAGGGCUGUCGCUCCCGCAAGGCUCUCGACGCCGUCGUACUGUACACGCAGGACCACGUGGAGCCGUGGUACGAGGAAGCGAAAGCGAUGCUGCAGGCUCUGCCGGCCACGGAGAGCUGCCAGGCCCUCUCCUCGCUCUCCACGCCGUCGCUGCGUGUGAACGGGAGCAGCCCCGCACUGCGGCCGUCCGACAGCGUGGGGCGGAUGACGUCGCUGGGCGGGGGUGGCGAGGCGACGACAGGCGUUGCUUCAGGCCGCCCGCAGCGUCGCUCCUGUCCGCGCCCGGCGGGACUGCCGCUGCUUUCUAUCGGCACCGUGGCGCUGGCGAGCACGCCGGAGCUCGACCAGGUGGACUGCCGCCCCACUGUGGCGAACAGUGGCCCGCUGCAGCUGCCGGCGUGGGCGAUGGAGGUGCUCAUCCGACGCGAGAGCAUGCGCGAGACGCUUGUGCGCGACCUGAAGGAAAAGGCCUUUCGCGUGUGUGCCGUUCCACUUCCGGACAUGCGGGUGCAUCGCAUCCUGCCACCAGCAGUGCCGCGCUACGUCACCGCACACGCGCGCGGCUUCCCUCUCAGUCGCACCUUUGCCGAGGAGGUCCUCUCGCAGCAGCGUGCGCUGCAGUUCAUUCUGCUGCAGAGGGAGCAGGAAAACCAACGCGCCAUCGCAGCGCGCAUCCGCCAGGAGCAGCGCCGGCAGGAGCGCCGGGAUCGGAAGCGACGAGAGCGCCGCGCUCGCGAGGAGGCGUCUCGGCGGGCGCAGCAAGGGCGGCAGCAACAGAAGCGGAGCCUGAACUCCCGGAGGCGCGAGUCGGGCGACGGCGACAGUUUGAAAAAGCGUCUGACUGGGGCCCUGAACCCGGCAACCGUCGUGUCGCGCGCCGUGUCCAUGGUGAAGCGUUUCAGCGUGGGGAGCGCCGGCCGCGACUUUGGCCACCUGUUUGUGCGCGUGCUACCUCUACGUAGCGACAGCGUGCGCAAGACGCGCACAAGCGCCAACGCAGCUUAUCGGCAAGAGUCACGAGCGCCAGCGCCGCUUGGUGAGCCAGACGUGCCGAAGACCUCGCCACCGUCACUGCCGCCGCCGCCGUACCGACACGGCUACCCGGCUGCCAGCGGCGGCUUCUACAGCGCCUCCUCGCCAACUCGGCGGCAGAGCACCGCACCAGAGGGCAACGCGCGAGUUGGUGGCGUUCUCUCCCAAGGCGAAAGCGACCGCGCUGGCUACGGUGCGGCGGAGUGCAGGGACGCCACCAGUGCUGCCGCACCCACCGUCGGCAAUGCUAGGCAACACCAGCGCUCGACCGAUGAGCCGAGCAGCGCCUCGCAGGUGUACGCGGUGCAGCCGCCGCGCGGACUCCAGGGCAUGCGCGACCCCCCUACCGCCGCCGUCUCCGCGACGUCGGUGCAGUCCUCGCCGACGCUGACGGAGGUGGACAUACACGUCCUCGGUGGCAGCUCCGGCAGCGUCUCCGUUGAAGUCUCCGCUGAUGUUUCGCUGACGGCGAAUGCGACGGGUGUGAGCGCCCUGUCCUGCGCCGCGGACGCGGCACCGCGCUCGAGCGAGCGUGGUGCGGGCGGCGACACAGGCGGCAGCGGCCGAGGACGCGCGCCUGCCUCAGCUGGAGCGCCGAGUCCUUCGCCGACAUCACCGACGCCGUACACCGCCACGUCACCGAUCAUGCUGCUGGCGGUGCCGCAGAGCUUAUCGGGGUCGCCGCCACCGCAACCGCACUCACCAGCCUCGGCGAACGGCAGCCUGGGCAGCCCACCGCCGCAGUCGCAAUCCUGUCAAGGCGACCACAGUGGUGGCGGAGGCAGCAGCAGCGCACCCAAGCCAGUUUCACUGGCGUCUGCAAGCUCCACCCGCAGCUCCCACUGGACUGCUGUGCACACGGCAACCAAUGCAAACACUUGCGUAACGCCGCCGCCACCCCCCGCAACCGCCUCCGCUGCGGGCAGCCCCGCGGUGCAGGUCAGCAGUAGCGGUAGCAACGGUGGCUGCGCCGCCAACGCUGUUGGCCACGGCCACGCUCAGAUGACGCCUGCCUCCGUCAGCGGCGCUCUGCAGAACCACUUUGGUUCGUCGCCGGCGUCGACCGCGACGACCUCGUCAUCGGUGAGUGGGGCCAGCAACACUACGCCAGGCUUCAGCGGCACGGGCGCGGCCGGCUUCCACUCUGGCACCACUUCGAUGUCGGAGCGCGGCUUUCCGUUGAUGUCACUGCCGCCACCCCCACUACCACUGCCCGCGCUCAGCUCAUCUUCUCCUCUCGCGCUUGGCGCGGGCACCAUUCCGUCCUCGUGCGUGCUCUCCGUGCCAGACGCACCGACCGCCACACUUAUGACCACCCGCGAUGCGAGCCUCGACGUCUCAGCGGGCGGUCAUCGUCACCAUCAGGACACGACUGUACUGUUGCUGCUGCCGCAACAGCCAUCGAACACCAGUCAGCCGCAGCGGUCGGUGCAGAACCCGGCGUCACCUGUCCCCGCCACUUCGCCGUUCAACGCGGAAGGUGCCACGCACCUCACCGUGAGCGGCGGUACUGCGCAGAAUCACAUGAGCAGCCGCAGCAACUACUCGUUCCAGCUGCCCGACGAUGAUGGAGUGCCGGCCGCCUCGAUGACGCCCAUGCCGCUUGCAGUGCCCAACAACAGCAUGUACGGCACCUUUGACGCGUAUUACGGCCACAGCGUCGUGACACCGCAGGCAGUGCUGCUGCGCCAGCAGGCCCAGGUGGCGGCGGCGGCCUCCGUCGCACCCUUGUCGGCCAUGCGAGCGCUGACCUCACCGCGGCACCGGGCAACCGCCAACACUGCAGCGCCGCUGUCAGCAACCGUGACACUGGCGGCGGAGAGAGACACUCGAAAGGGUGAGCUGCACAACGGCGGAUGCGCCGGUGAUCUCGAUGUCCGAGGCCCCGCUGGUAUUCUCAGCAGCGCCACGUCGACACCAGCUGCAGGGGCUGCCGCCGCUGCUGCUGCUGCUGCUGGAGGCAAUGCGCAGCAGUUGCCACCGCCGCCGCCGCAUUUGCAGGCUCCACGCAGCGGGCCGCGGCGAACCAGCUCUGGCCUGCUGCCGUACACGUACUCGGCCGACUCCGUGAGCAGCAUGUAUGGCACGACGCACUAUCCUCUCUACCAGUACCCGGACGACUCGAACGGCGCAGCAGCAGCGGCGUACACGGGAGUCUCGCCGCCUACGUCAUCGAUGCCCGGCGCGGCAGUGAUGGGUGGUGGCAGCAGCGCCACAACGGCCGCACUAGCUGGGUCCGCCCACGCCGGUGCCUCGAUGGUUUACACGUACAAAUCUUCGGGCUGUAGCAGCAGCCACGUCCUCGGGGUGAGCGCCACCGGCGUCACGCAGGUCUACACGUCUCCGGGCAACUCAGCCGCACUCUUCGGCAUCGGUGGGGCUGGUCGCCCCGAGAACUGGAGUUCUCACUCGCAAUCGCCGCGCGUGCCGGACUCGCCGAUGGACGUGAACGCCAGCGCCAUCGCCCCUCUGUCGCUGCCGCUUGCGCAGGAUACGCACAUGAACCGCCUGAAGCAGUACAACAAGCUUCUAUCCGACCUCCUCGGCGUCGCCGGCGGCCCGAUGCGCAGCGGCAUCUCCUUCUACUACACCUACGGCGAUGCCACGGCGCUGCUGUACAACGCGUCCAUCCGGGCUCCCUGUGACGAGAACAUUCUCGAGCUGCUAGACCGUCAGCAAUGGGAGAAACAGCAGGAGCUUCGGCAGCUGCCACGCACCGACGGCGGCAGCGGCGGCGCUUUCUCCGACUCUGGGGGUGCGUCAGACAGCAGCACGUCGGUCGGCGAUAAGAUACCGAUGCACACCAGCAGCGGAUCCUACUCCCUGUCCAGCUCAGCGACAGACAACACUGGGGCCUGCCGGGUUCCAGUCACCUUAGCCGGCAUUGGCGCAUCUCCUCCAGCUGCAGCGCAGCCUGCGCCUCAACUGCAGGCCACGCUCCACGGCAGCGGCAGCGCAGCUGUAGGAGACGCGAAUGCCGCUGGUCAAGGGGUGCGCAACGCUCGAGAAGACUCCUCCGCCGCCCGCGCCGCCGCUGCCGCGGCAACCGAAGAUGAGGGCUGCUCGUAUCUUGAGUACGGCGGUCUUGCCGGGUUGCAGGACACGAUGGACGCUCUGGAGUCCGAGCAGAUCGAGGCGCAGCGGGCACGCAACACGCGCUUUUACUCCAUCUUUGAGCACCUCCAUCACGCCUACCACGACACUGUGCUGGAGGCAAUCGGCAGCGGCAGUGCCCAGCCUGCCGGGCUCAGCCCCGUCACGGCCGCGACCGGCUCCCUCUACGCGGAGCUCACCGGAGGGGUCGGCACAGAGUACUUCUUCCCUUCCGCCGCGUCUGCCGCGGGCGCGGCGGGUGCGGAGCGGCACGCUGCGUCUCCACACUGCGUCGGCCACGCCACCGCGCCAGGAUCGGUUACCCCUCCACCUGGCCUGGUGUGCGGCGGGGCGGGUGCGGCAGACACGGUGGGCCUGCCGCGCUGGCGGCGGCGGUUAUGGAGCCGCGUGUGCGCGCUUGUGGCAUGGGUGGGCUCCCUCGUGGGCCUCGGGUGCAAGCCGCGCGGCGACUCGGCCGCUGUGGGAGCGCACACUGCGGGUGGCGCCACCGAUAGUGGUGUGGGGAUGCCUUGGCGCUCGUCGCAGCUCGCCCCAGACGGCGCGAAGUGUGGCUUCGAUCCAGCCAAACUCGCCGAGUACUUCCCGGGCGAGCGCAUCGUGACGUUUGGCGACGAGUGGUGCAUCGCCUCGCGGCUGGACAUGCACAACGGACACUUCGGCCUCUCGCCUCUGCAGGUGUGGAUGGCCACGCGCUACUCGCGCCGCUUCGCAGGCGAGGUGUACCUGAUGGACGUGAUCGCAGCCGGCGGCGACCCGUACUACCCAGCUGUCCGUGUCUUGGAUGAGAUCGUCGCGCAUGCCGUGCUCUACUACCACAACCACAGCCUGCGGGACUUUGUGGAGGAUCUGGAGGCGGAGCUGGGGCUCGUGUAUGUGCCACAGACGCUCUGGGGCAGGCGCGCGCUGGGGCUCCCAGAUGACGAUGCCGAGGUGCAAGAGCUGGAAGGGCUGCUGUACACUGCCACCCGACGUCGGCAAGACCGCCGCCGCCGGCAACGCGCUCAGGAAAAGUAUCGGCAGCGCCGCCGCUGUAGCGACGGUGCAGGGGGCGGCUUCGAGAAGGGCCGCGCUGCGGUGUCCCAAAUUCCACUGCCUACCACGGCGGGCGCCUCACGCUCGGCCGCCGCUGACAGGCACUGCCACACGGAUGGGGCACCGGCGCCGCCGCCGCCACCGUUUCCUUCGCUUGCGGCCGACGCGGCUCGUGAGGGUGAGAGGCAGGGAGGUCCGACGGCGGGCAGCCGCCGCGACCGAUACCGCUCUUCCAGCCCCCAAGCUCCGACGAUCAGCGGCACAGCUACUCGGGGCAGCGUCGGAGGCGCCAGCAUUGCCUGCCCGCUACUGCCGAGCCCGGUGAGCAACCGUGACGACCUACCGUCUGUCGCGGCGAUCGCGGCAACAGCGCCAGCAAACCUCCCCCCACCGCUCCAGCAGCAUCACCGUCCUCGGCGCCACGAUAAUGACCGCCUCGAGGAUGAAGAGAUGGCCGAGUACACCUGGAUCCAACUGCAGGGCAAGGACCAGGAGGAAGACGAGGAGGUCUUCUACGGCGCAACGGCCGCCGCCGCCGCGGGACUUGGUGGUGGCGACAUCAACAUCGCGCCCCACGUGUACGACGCGGUGAUGGAGCGCGAGGUAUAUGACGAGCGCAUGCUGCUGCGCGAGCUGGACCACUUGAAGGAGUUUCUCGUUGACAACCGCAACGUCCUGUCGUCCGCGAUGCUCACCACGGCUGGCUCAAACUCGCUCGAGGCCGUCUUUGGUGUCCCGGCGACGGUGUUCCCGUUUCUGCUGUGCGCGCGCGAGAGCGUGCCAUUUGUAGCCUCCAUCUUCGAGUCCCUCUCUUACCACUACGGCCCACUCACCUACGACAACUUCUCCAAGUACACCUACGAUGUCUACCACCGUGACCGGCCCGACGUGCUGCGCCACACUCCGCGCAUGUUCCGCAUGGUCAACAAGAGCCGCCGCGGCUGCAUCACUUACGAGGAGCUGUGCCGAUGGAUGGCGCGGAAGCUGAGCUGCGGCAACAAUGUUCAGCCGAACGGGCACCUGCUGGCGACGAGUAUGUCGCUGCGGCUGCCGCUCGCCCUGGUGGCCGAGUCUCGCGACGAGUGGGACGCGUACCGUUGCGUACUCAAGUCGCUCUCCGACGGCGAUGACGAGGAGUACUGAGGGUUGUCGAUGACGACGAGGUGCAUUACACAUAUCGCUGGGCUGAGGUGUGUGUGCGUGUGUAUGUAUGUGCAUGGGUGUAUGUGUGCUAGUCGCGGUGGUUGGGCUUAGUGGAGCGAUGACCACGGUCGCGCUCGGUUUCUCUGAUGUUAUUAGCGUGCGCCCACCUGCGCGUUUUAGGUACGCGGGGGUAGCCCUUUCCGUCGACGGCGUGAUGGAGAGAAUGGCUGACCAUGAGGACGAUGAUAGGCGAUGCGCCAGCGCGUGCUUGCGCAUUUUCGUUUUUCAUCUUGAUUCAGAGCUAAGUAGUAGCAUACCACGCAAGAGUAAUCAUGUAGCAUGCAUGUAGGUGCACGAGUAGGCACUCUCUGUCUCUGUCCGGCAUCCAUGAUGCUCUUCGGCCGCGUGCGUGCGACGCCUCUGUGUGAGUGCACGUGCGCAUGUGUGAGAGCUGUCCAGGCCUUUCCUCUGCCUACUCGUCCCACGCUCAGACAGGCACAGAGGAAUGGAAAAGAAGACAAGGACGCAACGCCAGCCGCAUCGACAGCGCGCACGUGUUUGCGGUGUGUUGUGCGUCGAUGAUCAAGCGGCCAAGCGUCCAGCUUCACGCGAGGAGGACUGCAUCGCUGCUCCUGUGCGCGUGCGUGCCCGCGUCAAUGCACGUUCGACUCUUUCCCAGGUUGGAUACCCCUCCCCCCCCCAAGCUGCAGACGACCCUCACCCUCUUGAGGCUUGCACCCAGGCCCAUCAGCCUAUCGCUUUCUGACUUCUGUAGUGCAUCCCACCCCUGCAUCCUCCUCUCUCACACACGCGCACGUGCGCAUGCUUGAAG